RNAcentral lists this long non-coding RNA (1526 nucleotides) under Gadus morhua (Atlantic cod). RNAcentral describes it as "lncRNA (ENSGMOG00000024849.1)". Lineage: Eukaryota; Metazoa; Chordata; Actinopteri; Gadiformes; Gadidae. The record is from RNAcentral.
AAAAACCGCCUUGACACCGGACAGAGCAGAGACUGUGAAGACAGGUCUGCCAAGGAACAUCUGGUGCCCCACCCCCCUUCCCUCUCCCAGGGCCCGCGCCUCCCCAGCCACACCCAGCGCGGUGCGGCCUCCAGCGCGGGGGGGGACGCCGCCGCUGCCAUGCCGUCGGAGGGCAGGAGGCCCACGCUGAGGGCCAACCCACCGCUCCGCCGUCGCCGGGCCUCCCACCGAGAGGGCAGUGACGAGGGGCCGCUGGAGCGAGGGUCUGGGAACGAGGAGGAGGAGGACGACGGUGGAGGGGAGCCUGUGGAGGGCAGGCAGCCGCCGCAGCAGAGCGUCAUGGGGUCCCUGGCCGCCGCGGGGAGCAGCAGUUGGUACAGGGCUAUGGGGGAGAAAAGGGAACCUGUCGCAGGGGGCGCCAGAAUAGAACGGAGAUCCAGGCUAACCAACAGAGACCAGACUGAGUUUGCAACUGGACUUUUAAUUGGUAAGAAGACAUUCUUCCACCAUUAGCAAAUACUGCAGUGAUACGUACUGUUUUCUUGCAUUAACUAAAGCACCAUGAUUUUUUUUUGUAAUCAUGAGAGAAAAUGAAUAUCAAGAUUACGUGUAGGAUUAGGAUUUACUUGGUCUUUUCACAAGAUGAGACCAGUAUAGCUAGCUCAAUCAUAGCAUACACCUCUGCGCUGAAGUGGUAUUUCUUUUGGAAUGAAUGGUCUGUUUUUCUCUCAAAUGUGCAGACAUAUCUUUGGAAAUGAACAAACGACCCAGCCCUUGAAAAAAAAAAGUGUUUAAAUAACACUCAGUCAUAAGCCUGUAUGAAAAAGAUAAUGAACAAAGAGGGGAAAACUGCUGUUCAGGGAUUUGAGGAAAAACUGAUUGCAACCAUUAAUAGAUCCACACCAAGCCGUCCCUCUCUCCUCCUGUUCCUCUUCAGGGGCAGCGGACGCGGAGGAGGCCCUGAGGAAGAGGCAGGAGCGCUACAGACAGGAGCUGGAGGAGCAGAUAGCCGACCAGCAGAGGAGGAAGAGGAGGGAGAAGGAGCUGGAGCUGAGAGUGGCUGCAGCCGCACCGGAACCAGACAAGCAGCUGGACCACAUCAAAUACAUGGGCCUGACCCGGAGGAGGGAGGGGGCGGCGAGGGAGACCUACCCCGGCCGGCCGGCCAGGGACCACCCUCUCCCAGAGCCCGGCCGCACGGCCUUCCAGUCCCCCCUGCUCGAGUACAGCGCUGCCCUGGGGGAAGGCCUGCUGUCCCCCUACUGCCAGCCGGGCCCGCCCCCGCUGCACCGCGCCCUCAGGUACACGCCGGACGCACACACGCACGCGGGGGGGGGCAGUAUGUGGAUAUUUAUCGAGCUUCAUAUCUUAGACUCUUUGAAAACUGUCAAACCAUCGUUUCCAAAAAUGUAUUAAAAAAAGCUUAUUCGUGCUUCUGUCUUAGUGUUGAAGGUAAAUCUGAAACCAUAUCUGUCCAGGCUCCCAUCCUACCUGCCACACCCGCCGGCAGCGCCCCCUGAAGCCGC